This 1185-nucleotide long non-coding RNA is filed under the name Lathyrus oleraceus (garden pea). RNAcentral's name for it is "Pisum sativum (pea) long non-coding RNA (PSAT_LNC021567)". Lineage: Eukaryota; Viridiplantae; Streptophyta; Magnoliopsida; Fabales; Fabaceae. The record is from RNAcentral.
ACACAUUGUGCACAUAAACAAAACAAAACCACAAAUUCUUCCAAACUCUGUAAUACAACACAUUUUUUGAACACAAAUUUUCAAAUUCUACAAUACAACACUAAUAAUUUUACAAAUCCAUUCUAGUCUUUUUUCGAAGCUUCCUUGAUUUCUUCUUAAUUCUUGUAGCCAUGUUGGAUAUAGACUUUGAUUGUUUUUUCACAACAUUGACAUCAUCAUUAAAUGAAGUGUUAUGUCCCGCAUCUCCAACAGAAGUUCCUACGUCAUCUUCAUCGAUAAAAUUCACAAUUUAUCGAUAAUCAUGUACAGCCUCAUCCUCAAAUGGACUGCUAAAUCUCGCAUCUUUCAUCAUCCUCAUUUCAUUCUCAAGAACUGGUGUUCUCGUUUUGAAAUUUUUAUUCAAGCCACCAAUCUUUGAUAAUUAUUAAUAUCCACAAAACAAAACCAUAAUAACACCAGAAUCAGUAUAUACAACUAAAGUUGAUAAACCAUAACCCUUAAAACGCACCAAGACAGAAAAAUAAAGACACUUGAAUUGAAAGAAUAAAUCCUAAACCUUUAUUCCUUUUUCAAUUUCCCCCUUUCAACAACAAAAUAAACAAAAAUAAAAAGGAACGGAGAAAAGGGAAUAAAGGGAGAGAAGAAAUCACAAUAAUGAAGAACAUCACACCAAAACACAUUUAACAUAAUUGUACCUAAAUUCAAUUUCAUUUCUACAAAGUCAAUUUCAGCACGAAAUCAAAAAUUGAAAAUCAAUUAAAGAAGGAGAGUAUAGAAGGACGAAAAAAAAGAAAACACAACUCACUCUUAUCUAAAAUCACCUUCAAGUUGCAAUUUCAACCACAACUCCACCACAUACCACCACUGCAUUCCCUAUCAAGAUAAUCAUCGAUGAAAUAAUACACUGUCAAGAGAGAGUGUCUUUCAUGUGUUGAGAGAGAGCGUCAUCCAUGAGACAGAACACUAUCGAGAGAGAGCGACCUUCGUGCGUAGAGAGAGAGAGAGAGAGAGUGUUGUGGAUGAGAGAACACAUCGUCGAGAGAGAGCACCGUCGAUGAGAAAAAAGAGCACCGUCGUUUUGAAAUUAAGAGAGAGAGAGAGAGAGAGAGAGAGAGAGAGUUGUUUCUUCUGUGAGAGAAGUGAUAUAUCGUCUAAGAGAGAAAUUGGAAUUAAGUUAACCUUAAC